RNAcentral lists this ribosomal RNA (429 nucleotides) under Chloroflexota bacterium. RNAcentral describes it as "Chloroflexi bacterium partial 16S ribosomal RNA". It matches the Rfam family "Bacterial small subunit ribosomal RNA", at positions 355 to 776 of the family's 1533-position model. Lineage: Bacteria; Bacillati; Chloroflexota. The record is from RNAcentral.
UGGGGAAUAUUGCACAAUGGGCGCAAGCCUGAUGCAGCCAUGCCGCGUGUAUGAAGAAGGCCUUCGGGUUGUAAAGUACUUUCAGUCGGGAGGAAGGUGUCAAGGUUAAUAACCUUGGCAAUUGACGUUACCGACAGAAGAAGCACCGGCUAACUCCGUGCCAGCAGCCGCGGUAAUACGGAGGGUGCAAGCGUUAAUCGGAAUUACUGGGCGUAAAGCGCACGCAGGCGGUUGAUUGAGUCAGAUGUGAAAUCCCCGGGCUUAACCCGGGAAUUGCAUCUGAUACUGGUCAGCUAGAGUCUUGUAGAGGGGGGUAGAAUUCCAUGUGUAGCGGUGAGAUGCGUAGAGAUGUGGAGGAAUACCGGUGGCGAAGGCGGCCCCCUGGACGAAGACUGACGCUCAGGUGCGAAAGCGUGGGGAGCAAACAGG